RNAcentral lists this ribosomal RNA (433 nucleotides) under uncultured bacterium. Its description in RNAcentral is "partial 16S ribosomal RNA". It matches the Rfam family "Bacterial small subunit ribosomal RNA", at positions 29 to 507 of the family's 1533-position model. The record is from RNAcentral.
AGCGAACGCUGGCGGCAGGCUUAACACAUGCAAGUCGAACGCAUCCUUCGGGGUGAGUGGCAGACGGGUGAGUAACACGUGGGAACGUACCCUUCGAUCUGGGAUAACUUCGGGAAACUGGAGCUAAUACCGGAUCCGCCCUUGUGGGGAAAGGUUUACUGUCGAAGGAUCGGCCCGCGUCUGAUUAGCUAGUUGGUGGGGUAACGGCCUACCAAGGCGACGAUCAGUAGCUGGUCUGAGAGGAUGAUCAGCCACACUGGGACUGAGACACGGCCCAGACUCCUACGGGAGGCAGCAGUGGGGAAUAUUGGACAAUGGGCGCAAGCCUGAUCCAGCCAUGCCGCGUGAGUGAUGAAGGCCUUAGGGUUGUAAAGCUCUUUUGUCCGGGACGAUAAUGACGGUACCGGAAGAAUAAGCCCCGGCUAACUUCGUG